This 22-nucleotide microRNA is filed under the name Xenopus laevis (African clawed frog). RNAcentral describes it as "xla-miR-428b-3p". Its record names the gene xla-miR-428b-3p. The record is from miRBase by way of RNAcentral. RNAcentral also lists the same sequence under 1 other name. Lineage: Eukaryota; Metazoa; Chordata; Amphibia; Anura; Pipidae.
AAAGUGCUUCUCGUUCGGCUGA